UACGAAGGGGGCUAGCGUUGCUCGGAAUCACUGGGCGUAAAGGGCGCGUAGGCGGACUUUUAAGUCGGAGGUGAAAGCCCAGGGCUCAACCCUGGAAUUGCCUUCGAUACUGGGAGUCUUGAGUUCGGAAGAGGUUGGUGGAACUGCGAGUGUAGAGGUGAAAUUCGUAGAUAUUCGCAAGAACACCGGUGGCGAAGGCGGCCAACUGGUCCGAAACUGACGCUGAGGCGCGAAAGCGUGGGGAGCAAACAGGAUUAGAAACCCCAGUAGUCC
Molecule: ribosomal RNA, 273 nt
Filed under: uncultured prokaryote
Description: partial 16S ribosomal RNA
Rfam family: Bacterial small subunit ribosomal RNA
Source: RNAcentral